CUACUGGUUGAUCUGCAGUAGUAUUGUUGUCUCAAGAUUAGCAUGAUGUGUAGUAUGAACAAUUCGACUGUGAAUGCGAAUGGUCAUUAAUCAGUUAUAGUUUGUUUGAUGGUAUCUUGUAUCGGAUACGUAGUAUUUAGAGCUAUAGUGCAAACCCGAUUUGGAGGGAUGCAUUUAUUAGAUAAAGGUCGAGCGGGCUUUGCCGUUGCUGCGAUGAUUAUGAUAUCGACGGAUCGCCGGCCUUGUGCGGCGAGUCAUUCAAUUUUGCCUAUACUUUCGAUGGUAGGAUAGUGGCUACUAUGGUGGUGAGGGUGACGGGAUUAGGGUUCGAUUCGGGAGGGAGCUGAGAACGGCUACAAUCAGGAGGCAGGGCGCAAUUACCAUCUGACGGGGAGGUAGUGACAUAAUACAUACGGGUCUACGGUUGGUAUUGGAUGAGUACAUCUAAUCCUUACGAGGAUCAUUGGAGGGCAGUCUGGUGCAGCAGCGCGGUAUUCAGCUCAUAGGUAUAUUUAGUUGUUGCAGUUAAAGUCGUAGUUGGACUUUGGGUUGGGUCGGCGGUCGCCAUCAGGUGUGCACGGUUUACUGUCCUUCUGUCGGCGAUGCGUCUACCUUAAUGGGGGGUCGUGCUCCGGCGUUGUUACUUUGAGAAUUAGAGUGUCAAGCAGCUACGUCUGUAUACAUUGCAUGGGAUAAUAUAGGAUUUCGGUCUAUUCGUUGGCUUCGGGAUCGGAGUAUGAUUACAGGGACGUCGGGGGCAUUGUAUUUAUGUCAGAGGUGAAUUCUUGGAUUUAUGAAGACGAAAUGCGAAGAUUUGCAGGAUGUUUUCAUUAUCAGACGAAGUUGGGGGUCGAGCGAUCAGUACGUCUAGUUAACAUAACGAUGCGACAGGGAUAGCGGAUGUUGCUUUUAGGAUCGUGGACUUAUGAGAAUCAAGUUUUUGGGUUCGGGGGGAGUAUGGUCGCAGGCUGAACUUAAGGAUUGACGGAAGGGCACCAGGAGUGGAGCUGCGGCUUAUUUGAUCAACGGGGAAUUACAGGUCAGAUAGUAGGAUUGACAGAUGAGAGUCUUUCUUGAUUCUAUGGGUGGUGGUGCAUGGCGUUUUAGUUGGUGGAGCGAUUUGUCUGGUUAUUCCGUUACGACGAGACUCAGCUGCUAAUAGCUAUGUGGAGGUAUCCUCAUGGCAGUUUUAGAGGGACUAUGGCUUUUAGGCACGGAGUUUGAGGCAUAAGGUCUGUGAUGCCUUGAUGUUCUGGGCGACGCGCGUACUGAUGUAUUCACGAGUAUAUAGCUUGGCGACAGGCCGGGAAUCUUUGAAUUUAUCGUGAUGGGGAUAGUCAUUGCAUUGUUGGUCUUAACGAGGAUUCUAGUAAGCGCGAGUCAUCAGUCGCGUUGAUAGUCCUGCCUUUGUACACGCCGUCGUCUACGAUUGAAUGGUCGGUGAGUGUUAGGAUGUGGCGAGUGGGCGGUUCGUGCCGCGACGUCGCGAGAUUCCAUGACUUAUCAUUUAGAGGAAGGAGAGUGUAACAGGUUUCGUAGGUGAACUGCGGAGGUCAUUG
Helianthus annuus (common sunflower) is the source of this 1559-nucleotide non-coding RNA. Lineage: Eukaryota; Viridiplantae; Streptophyta; Magnoliopsida; Asterales; Asteraceae. The record is from Rfam.